Molecule: long non-coding RNA, 566 nt
Organism: Esox lucius (northern pike)
Lineage: Eukaryota; Metazoa; Chordata; Actinopteri; Esociformes; Esocidae
Source: Ensembl
UGCUAGAUGAGAGAGUUGAAAGAACAUUAGGCUGUAUUUAAACCUACGCUGCAGCAGUACAUGUCCACCGGAGGCAGUGGCCUAGACCACAGGACAUUCCCAGGCUACCGUAGGUCACUUAUUCACCCUUAGUCCUCUCUACUGUGGCUACACUGACCUUCUCCCUCCUUUUCUCCAUCAUCCCUCCUAUUCACAUUCUUGUCUUUUCCUUAGGUAUCCCUCCAUCCAAUCUCUACUGUAGAGUGCGUCCCCUGUCGGCUCAGAUGAUAAUCUGCUUCAUGGCGCAUGUGUCAGGGGGAAAGAAUGCUAAUCUGGAAGAGAUGCGGACUGCGAAGUCGGGGCUUUCUUGGCUGCCAGUUUCCACUGCGCACUACUUUCCAUGUGGAGCCGCUCCGGAGUGGCUGAAGCAGAAGGAAUUCCCGGCCGAGGGAGCCGAGGUGUUGACAGAUUCCAGAUCGCUCAUCAGGACACGCCUCCCACAUUAAAGGUCAAUCAUGUUACAAGAGUGAAAUACAGCAUUCCGGUAUUGCUCAAUAGUCCCACAGAGGGAGGAGAAAGUGGUCUGG